Molecule: ribosomal RNA, 634 nt
Filed under: uncultured bacterium
Lineage: Bacteria
Description: bacterial SSU rRNA
Rfam family: Bacterial small subunit ribosomal RNA (bases 1-536)
Source: RNAcentral
CCUACGGGAGGCAGCAGUGAGGAAUAUUGGACAAUGGGCGCAAGCCUGAUCCAGCCAUGCCGCGUGCAGGAUGACGGUCCUAUGGAUUGUAAACUGCUUUUGCACAGGAAGAAACAACGCUACGUGUAGCGUCUUGACGGUACUGUGAGAAUAAGGAUCGGCUAACUCCGUGCCAGCAGCCGCGGUAAUACGGAGGAUCCAAGCGUUAUCCGGAAUCAUUGGGUUUAAAGGGUCCGUAGGCGGUUUAGUAAGUCAGUGGUGAAAGCCCAUCGCUCAACGGUGGAACGGCCAUUGAUACUGCUAGACUUGAAUUAUUAGGAAGUAACUAGAAUAUGUAGUGUAGCGGUGAAAUGCUUAGAGAUUACAUGGAAUACCAAUUGCGAAGGCAGGUUACUACUAAUGGAUUGACGCUGAUGGACGAAAGCGUAGGGUAGCGAACAGGAUUAGAUACCCUGGUAGUCCACGCCGUAAACGAUGGAUACUAGCUGUUGGGAGCGAUCUCNGUGNGUAGACGAAGUAGAGUAAGUAUACCGACCGUACGGGAGGUACGUUACGUACGAGAAGUAGAACGUACGAAAGUAGUAAGUUAGUACGGACGUUGAGACGAGCGACGGACGACGACGAGGGAGGUAGG